AUGCUCGCUCGGCAUGGAUCAUGGAUGGAAUCAAGGGUCGACCAGUGCGCGGACGCCGAUGCCGAAGAAGACGCAGAGAGGCACGAUGAGCAGGCCGUAGUGGGCGAUGAACUCGGCACUGUCGGCUUGCACGCGCACAGGGUAGCUGCCGAAGGCGCCGGCGACGAAGGCGUUAAUGAAGUGGAAGUAGGUGAGGAUGCUGACGGCGUGGGCGAAGGCCGCGAAAAUCCUGGGCGAAGGCCUCCAGGAGACCGGCGCCAAGGCAGCUACCGUGGCCGUUGCUGCCUGGGUGCCGGCGGAGAGCAGCAGCAGCAGCCCGUGGGUGCGCAUGGCCACCGCGUUCUCCUCGUCCUCGGUGGCAGCGCAGGCAGCCCCCUGCUGCUUCAUCUGGGGGUGGAGGGUGGUGACGCAGAGGGCGAAGGUCGCCGCUGCCAAGCCGAGGACGAGAUGCACACACGCCACCGCACGGAUCUGCACCGUCGCCGCACCUGCUCCGGCAACAACAAUAACAACGAGGGGUUGACGGCCACCGGCAGCACCACCAGCCUCCAUCGCCGACGCCGCGCACGAUCAAGAAACAAAGCAGCUAGCUGCUCUGUGGCCUGUGUGUGUGGACUAUGGAGAGGAUAA
RNAcentral lists this ribosomal RNA (630 nucleotides) under Triticum aestivum (bread wheat). Its description in RNAcentral is "partial small subunit ribosomal RNA". Lineage: Eukaryota; Viridiplantae; Streptophyta; Magnoliopsida; Poales; Poaceae. The record is from RNAcentral.